Long non-coding RNA from Gallus gallus (chicken), 1558 nucleotides. RefSeq lists it as uncharacterized. The record is from RefSeq and is a predicted model, not a curated record. The transcript has 4 exons. Lineage: Eukaryota; Metazoa; Chordata; Aves; Galliformes; Phasianidae.
GGAUUCUGUUCCAAGGAGGAGGUGAGACAAGGGCCAGUUUCUGGGUUGCUCCUGCAUAUCCCAUCCAAACCACUCCGCUCAAGCGAAGGUCUUGUGUGGAGUCUGUGUGGUGAGCUUGCAAGGAAUGCGGUGAGAUGCAAAGUGCAAGGGCCGGGCUGUGCACAUCGCACAUCUUCUCAGCACCUGGGAUGCAGAGAGUAAACCAAAAUUGAUGAAAACUAGCAGAGGAUACAGGAUGAAAAGGAGCACAAGGAAAGAUGAAAGACAGAAGAACCAAGGAGCACUGCCUAGACCCUAACAAUGUGAGAAGCUGCAAAAGAUAAGGUUAAACAAGAUGUAGCCAGAGGCAGAUAGAAACCUCCCUUGCUGUUCACGAAGGACAGAUGUGUGCUCACCACAGCGCCUCUGACCUUACUGUUCACCUAAGCAGCGGUGGGACAUCUGAAGGAGCCUUAAUUCCUGAUGCAAAAUACAACAGAGAGAGAUGAAUGCUUGAAGAUGUCUAAGAAGGUUUCAUCAGCAGCAGGAAGAGAGAAGGCACAGAAAAAAAUCACCAGAAAUUCCUCCAGAAAAUUGCUUCUUAUACUGUCCUCUAGAUUGGCUUAACCCUGAAGUGCAGGUUGACCUGAAUUCAGCUAUGAGAAAUGUCAUUUUGACUUAGUCCAAACAGAAAUCAUCCUGCCUGCUACCCACACCCAGCCGAGCUGCGCAGUCUGGAGGUCUGGGUGGGUGGCAAACCAUGGAGGCCUCUGCAAGGAAGUGGCACUUGUAGAUAAUCCCUUGUGAAUUCUCAUUACACAAAUUGCAAAGUGGUGGUGAUGACAGAUGUGGACAACGGGCUUUCUCAGCGUGUGACAGCCUGUCUGCAUUCAGUGAGCCAAGCUCCAGCCAUCCCUACACAUACUGCUGAUCUCAGCUGAGUGUUGAGGUGCUGUUUUGUGUGGGAGAGAUGUGGAUGUGCUGCAGAAUGAUUUUUGUAGCAGUGAAUUUACUAAUGCACAGAAUAGACUCCUUUUACAACACAAUGCACUCAAUAUUUCUGACGAAGUGCUGCCAGUUUCUUGAUAGUCGAGCCAUCAACUUUUGGACAAAAUAAUUGCUGGCAAUAUUUUGUGAUUACUCAUUGUUUUCCACCUGCCUCUGAAAGAGUGAAUUAAUUAAGUUUCUCAACAGCCAUAUGAAGCAAGUGUUACAUUAAUUAAAACACGCAUGGCUCUGGAGAACCUACUGUCCAUCCAAGAAGUCAUACUUUAGCCAAAUAAAAUGCAAGUCAGCUUUCUGGUGCAGUGUUGAAACCAAAUGAGAAAUGCAUCUGCGUACCAAACUGUUACAGUGCUCAAAGUGAAAGUCAGAUAAUCACAUUUUAUGGGCUCUGCUCCACAUUGUUGUUUUCCAUUGGAAAUCUAUACCAAUAACAAGACAAUAGAAAGAACAACCCAGAUAGAGCUACUGCAAGCCUCUAAAUAAUUACAGACUUUAGGUACACAUAGGGUUUUCUUUUUGAAACUGAUUAAUCAGUCAUUCCUAAUUUAAGAAUAAAAAUUACGUAUGCCACAUG